AGUGAACGCUGGCGGUAGGCCUAACACAUGCAAGUCGAACGGCAGCACAGUAAGAGCUUGCUCUUACGGGUGGCGAGUGGCGGACGGGUGAGGAAUACAUCGGAAUCUACUUUUUCGUGGGGGAUAACGUAGGGAAACUUACGCUAAUACCGCAUACGACCUACGGGUGAAAGCAGGGGAUCUUCGGACCUUGCGCGAUUGAAUGAGCCGAUGUCGGAUUAGCUAGUUGGCGGGGUAAAGGCCCACCAAGGCGAUGAUCCGUAGCUGGUCUGAGAGGAUGAUCAGCCACACUGGAACUGAGACACGGUCCAGACUCCUACGGGAGGCAGCAGUGGGGAAUAUUGGACAAUGGGCGCAAGCCUGAUCCAGCCAUACCGCGUGGGUGAAGAAGGCCUUCGGGUUGUAAAGCCCUUUUGUUGGGAAAGAAAAGCAGCAGGUUAAUACCCCGCUGUUCUGACGGUACCCAAAGAAUAAGCACCGGCUAACUUCG
Molecule: ribosomal RNA, 490 nt
Filed under: uncultured bacterium
Lineage: Bacteria
Description: partial 16S ribosomal RNA
Rfam family: Bacterial small subunit ribosomal RNA
Source: RNAcentral